CAGCGGUGCUUCUUUCGAAUGAGAUGCGGAAGAUAACUCAGAAGUCCCGCACGCAAAGUCGGGAUGUAAGGAUGGUGGUGAGUGCGAAGAAGGAGGUAACAAUAUCGGCGACCGAAGAUCGACAGAAGAAGUCGCUAUCUGAGGUGGAGUGCUUCUACUGUCACAGGAAAGAGCAUAUCAAGCACAACUGUCGAAAACUUCAGGAUAAUAUAAAGGAGUUAAAGCAACAGAAGGAGAAAACUAUCGUGAACCAGGAUGAGACGGUAUCAGCGAUGGCACAGGCGAUAGAGUCGGAGACGAUCGAUUCUGAUGUGCUGUAUGCGGCGAUCGAAGGUGCCAAAAUUUUGGAUGACGCAUGGGUGCUAGAUUCGGCGUG
Molecule: long non-coding RNA, 376 nt
Filed under: Ananas comosus (pineapple)
Lineage: Eukaryota; Viridiplantae; Streptophyta; Magnoliopsida; Poales; Bromeliaceae
Description: long non-coding RNA (ACOM_LNC026879)
Source: RNAcentral